This 63-nucleotide non-coding RNA is filed under the name Parcubacteria group bacterium GW2011_GWA2_47_8. The record is from RNAcentral.
ACUCGCCGUAUGCGGGAAAACCGCUCGUACGGUGGGAACGUCAAUUGCCAACCUUAGCAAAAC